UACGUAGGGGGCAAGCGUUAUCCGGAAUCAUUGGGCGUAAAGCGCGUGUAGGCGGUUCUGUAAGUCCGCUCUGAAAGCCCAGGGCUCAACCCUGGGAGGCGGGUGGAUACUACAGAACUGGAGUACGGAAGAGGAGAUUGGAAUUCCUGGUGUAGCGGUGAAAUGCGCAGAUAUCAGGAGGAACACCAACAGCGAAGGCAGAUCUCUGGGACGUUACUGACGCUGAGACGCGAAAGCGUGGGGAGCAAACAGGG
Molecule: ribosomal RNA, 254 nt
Filed under: uncultured bacterium
Lineage: Bacteria
Description: partial 16S ribosomal RNA
Rfam family: Bacterial small subunit ribosomal RNA
Source: RNAcentral